RNAcentral lists this unclassified non-coding RNA (5709 nucleotides) under Chelonus insularis. RNAcentral describes it as "filamin-A, transcript variant X6". The record is from RNAcentral. Lineage: Eukaryota; Metazoa; Arthropoda; Insecta; Hymenoptera; Braconidae.
ACAAGUAAUUUGAAAUGAUUUCAAUAGAAUAAAGAGAAAAAAUUUGCAACUUUAAUUUGAUUUUAUUCAAUAAAUAAACAAGUGGAAUUGGAAUGUUUGAAUAAUAAAGAAGUUUUGAAAGUAUGAGUGUGCUCUUAAAAAAGUUCUAAGUUGGCGGGCUUUUGACUUGAUUGUUCGGACUGCUGCCAUCUAAAAAAAAAGCGCCAAAAUAUAAACAAUAAACCAAUUUUUUCAGAUAAAAAAUGGAGCACCAAACGAAAAAUAGAAUCAGUUUUGAAUCUACUGAUUUAUCAGCCAUGUCUGGAUGGACAGGUCAGGAAAAAAAAUUCGAUCAUGUAACAGUAAGCAUUUUUCCUUACAAGGAAGUGGAAAACAGGUUUUCUCAAGAAGUGGCAGAAAAAUUAGCGAGUUCCCUAGUACCAGGUAGACAAUAGAGUGAAUAGAACAACGGUGUCUCGGAGAUUUGCGUUACUUGUGCACUUCAGCAAGUUCUACAAUCUACAUUGAACAUAGUCCCACACCUGGUACUGUCCCACCUGAUCAUUGAGCCAGUGGGGGGCAUUCUUGGUAUCUGGUGGGGCUCAAGAGCAGUCGUCAGUGAGCUCAGGUACGUCGAGCGAGAGCGAGCUGUUGAAAAAUCUCAUGAGAAGGCCAAAAAUGGCGUUUCAACGAUAGAAUCAUCGACAAGUGUCGCAAUUUAUCUCUUGGAUAGAUUGUUUUCAUCUUCAGGAAAGUAAUCAAAUAAAAGAAAAUGCAAUCGGUGGAACAACUACGUCCUGAAGAACUGGUGGGUCUUGUGGCCCGUUCAGCAGAAGGUACAGCGGCCAAGGGCAUGCCGAUCAAGGGCAACGAAGAUCUUUGGGUUGAAAUUCAAGCAAAUACCUUCAGGAAUUGGGUCAAUGAGCAUUUGAAACACGCAGGAGAUGCUGGUGGUGGACCGGUUUUGGACUUGGCUGAAGAUUUUCGCGAUGGAACUAGAUUGUGCGCUUUGGUUGAAGUCCUGACAAAAAGAAGACUACCUCGAUGGAAUCCUAGACCUGCUAAUCAACAUCAUCACCUCGAGAACGUGUCUACCGCUUUGCAAGCUAUCGAAGCUGAUGGAGUCAAGCUUGUGAAUAUUGGUAAUGUUGACAUUGUUAAUGGCAACCUGAAACUAAUCCUUGGAUUAAUAUGGUCUCUCAUUGUCAGAUAUCAAAUCGGAAAAUCUAAAUUCCCUCCAAGAAAACUCAUGCUCGCUUGGCUCAAGGCAGUUUUGCCAGAAUGCAGAGUUAACAAUUUUACUACUGAUUGGAAUUCAGGAGUUUAUCUUAGUGCCCUCUUGGAUUAUUGUAAACCAGGACUCUUUCCUCAUUGGAGGCAACUGGAUCGUACUGACAGUGUUUACAACUGUCGGAAAGCCAUGGAAAUAGCAAAAAGAGAAUUCGAUAUUCCAGUUGUUUUAGAACCUGAAUAUUUGGCAUCUCCAUACCUCGAUGAACUCUCAGGAAUGACCUAUCUAUCUUACUUUAUGAAAGAAGGUUCUCCUGGUUUUCAUGCAACUCUACGAUGGGUCAAUUCUCAGUUAACUCAUGCACCUGUACGAAAUUUUACGACUGAUUGGAAUGAUGGUCGAGCUCUCUGUUCAAUUGUAAGGAACCUCGGUGGUCCAGCACCAACUUACGAUAAAAUUAAUACUGAUCCCAGCUAUUGGGAAUCAAAUCUCCAACAAGGAAUUGAUGGAGCGAAAAAAUUAGGAGUAGAACCUAUAUUAAAGGCUAAAGACAUGGCUGAUCAAAAUGUUGAACAUCUUGGAGUCAUGGCUUAUGCUGCUCACUUUCAGUGGGUUAAACCUCGUCCCCAAGCGAGCGAACAACUUGCGGUACAUGUGGAGACUACAUCUGCAAGAGUUCAACAACCGGCAACAUUCAGACUUGAGAUGUUGUCGAAAGAAGUACAUCCGCGGGAAGUAAGAGGAGAAAUUAUCAGUCCCAGUGGUAAAGUCGAAUGUAGACUCACCUGGAAUGGCACUCAUGGCAAAGGAACAUUCGUGCCGACUGAAGUAGGAAUGCACAAGCUAAUGGUCUACAAUGAUGGAGAACUCGUCAAUGGAUGUCCUUAUUACUUCAGAGUCUUACCUCCGUUAACCAAAAUCAAAUCUCCUGGCAUGGAUCCAUGCGGUAUUGGAUCUAUUGUCGAGGUUCUAGUCAACAGUUACGGAACUAGUCAUGACGGCAUUGACGUAACAGCUUGGUCUCCAACGGGUAGAUCUCUUCCUUGUCCAGUCAAAGAAAAUGGUGGAGUCCAUACAGCUACGUUUCAACCUGAUGAAACAGGCGAGUGGAGUAUUGCAAUUACUCAUAAAGGAACUCACAUUCAAGGAGGUCCAUUCACCUGCUUCGUUUUUGAUCCCAACGGAAUAAAGUUGGUUGACACAGAAGGAGCAAUACCAGGUCAGCCAUUUUCAUUUAUCGUCGAUGCAACAGGAACAGGCGGCCUGGGUGACGUAAACAUUGACAUCGUCCAUGACAAGCAAUCAGUGCCUUUUCGAAUGGAAGAUAUUGGUCGGAUGAGGUAUCGUGUAUUCAUGGUACCGAGAGAAUCUGGAAAAUAUCGUGUAUAUCUUUACUUCAACGGUUCAGAUGUAAGAGGAUCUCCAAUCUCCAUUCGUGUUGGUUCUCAUAGAAGCAGAAGAUCUAAAGAAUCAUCUAGCUAUGAAAGGUCAAAAAUUUCAUCAUUAGAAAAGCGAAUGAAUGGAUUAAAUAUGACAGAUCAUUCUGGAAUCAAUCAGAAACGACAUUCGCCAGUAUACAAAAACAGCUCUCACAGUCCUACUCAAAAUUAUCGAGAUUAUUCCCAUCACCAAUCGUCUUAUAAGACUUCAAAUUAUAUUACAGAAAAUUCUUCAUCUUCUUAUCAAGUCCCAAGUCCUUUAACAGCUUCCAGAUCUCCAGUUCAGAAUUCCAGUCCAUCUCUAAUAAAAGAAUCACGUGAAAUUUAUUCCUCUAGUACAUUUAAUAGAUCAAGGUCUCCAAAUAUCAAUCAGAGUCCUAGUCUAAUCAAAGAAUCUAAGGAUAUUUAUGCAUCGAGUUCAUUAAAUCGAUCGAGAUCACCAAACAUCAGAGAAACUCGAGAGUCUCAGACCUCGAGUGUUAUUAAAGAAUCAAAAGAUAUCUAUCAAUCGAGUACGUUGAACCGAUCACGAUCGCCAGGUGUCAGUCCUAUGGCUUACCGGAGUAAUGGAAGUCCAAUUAAUAGGAGUUUUAGUCCUAGAGUUAAUGGAAAGAGACGAGGAUCAGCGGAUAGUGGGGUUAUUGAUACCAGCUCUAAUGUUAGAGUAUCAUCUACUCUUGGUGGAACGCCGAGGAGAGACUCUUGGGACGCAAUCACCAAGACAAAAGCGAUGUUAUCGUACGGAAGUCUCGAAUCACUCGCAAAUCUAGCCAACAGCUCUCUAGAUCACACGACUACUAACUUUAUAAAUGACAAUAAUUACCGAAAUGGUUACGAUAAAUAUAAUUCUUCGAAUGUUGAAAGAUCUCAUGUGGAAAAUUCAAAAAACUACAUGUCUCAGCGAUACACGAGUGAUUAUCGGUCUUCCUCACCAAAGUAUAAUGGAGGAAUCGUAUCAGAAAAUCAGAAUGGCCGAAGUCAAACUCAUGGAAUUUUGAAAAAUAGAAAUAACAAUUAUUAUAAAUCUUCUGAUACUACAGAUGCGAUUCAUGAACGAUUUAUCAACAGUGAAUCAUCUUUUAUGUCAACUCAAGAACGUCGAAAAGGAUCGUCGGCGGCUUUCGGAACAGCUCUUGAUGUUCUACCACUUCAUAAACCUACUUCUUUUACUUUGGAUUCUAGUAUAGAUGGAAGUAAAGCUGUUGUUACAGUUACCGGACCAAAUGGGAAGCAAGUACCUUAUCAAAAGUCAACUCUCAGAGGCUAUACGUAUACUAUAACAGCUGAUGAAGUUGGAGAACACACCAUUCAAGUUACUAUUAAUGGUCAACACAUCAAAGGAUCACCAUUUAGGUCUCAAGCUUAUGAUGCAACGGCAAUCCGAGUAGAAAAUGUUCCGGAUGGCGUCGUCAAUCAACCCGUCGAAUUCGAAAUUGAUGGUUCCAGAGCUGGCUCAGGGAACCUCGAAAUAUUGGUGAACGGUGGCCAUGUAACAAGUUUCGUUAAAGCACUGGGUAGUCAUCGUUUCUUGGCGUCUUUUGUACCUCAUGAGGCUGUAACUCAUCUCGUUGAGAUGACGUUUAAUGGCGAAACGGUGCCAGGAUCACCUUGGAGAGUGGGCAUCAUGCCGGGACCGAAAAUGUCGGUCCUUGGGGACUCAGUAAGGCUUGUACCUGCUGGAAGUCCUGCCCUUUUUGAACUCUCCGCCCUGGGUUUCACAAGUAAAGAGAUUGAUGUGCAGAUAAUAACUCCAUCAAAGAAACAUAUAAAUGCACGAAUUGAUGAGGAACCAGGGCGUCCAGGUGAGUUCCGUGUGGAAUUUACUCCAACAGAGGUCGGAAGUCAUCUGGUCGAGGUGAGCAUCGCGGGACAAAAGCUACCGGCUGGUCCACUUAUCGCCAAAGUCUACAACAGCAGCCUUAUUCAAGUUACUGAUGUACCCAGUGCCGUAGUUGGCCAUGCCUGUCAAUUUAGAGUUGAUGCCAGUGCAGCUGGCGAAGGCCAGUUAGAAAUAUCUAUUAAUGAAGGUGAAGUGCCGAACCAUGUUCAAGUAGUUGGAGGAGGUCGUUGUCUUGUAUCAUUCACUCCAGAAGCUGCUAAACCUCACUAUAUUGAUAUAAAAUUUAACGGUGAAGCUGUACCAGGAUGUCCUUUUGUUUGCAACGUUUCUGAUACUAGCAGAGUCACAUUAAGCCUAAAUCAUCUAGAAUUAAUACCCGUGGAUCAACCAGCCAGCUUCCAUAUGGCAGUUGAUGGUAGUGGUAGUGCAGAACUUGCAGUUUCUGUUCGAGGACCAACGAUAGAGUUGCCCGUAAAGGUAACAGGCAACAUCCACAGCGGAUUCACAGCAGAAUUUACACCAAGAGACGUAGGAGUACAUUCGAUAAGUGUAGAGUACAACGGGCAUCCUGUAAAUGGAACGCCUUUCCUUGCGAAAGCUUUCAAUGCUGAUAAAGUCAUCAUUGGACCCGUUGCACGAGGCAGCGUUGGACAACCUACUCACUUCACCGUGGAUGCAAGUCAAGCUGGCGAGGGAAAUCUAGAGAUCACGAUCUCAGCCCGAGGUCAAAAUAUCCCCACUCAAGUGACUCCCCAGGGCAAUGCACGAUUUUCCGUGAGCUUCGUGCCCUUCGAGGCAUGCGAACAUGUAAUAAAUAUUGCGUUUAACAAACGCACUGUCCCAGGUUGCCCGAUAAUUACAAGGGUGGGUGGCGACAGUCAUGUUACUGUCAGUGGACAGGCAUUAAGUAGCGUUGGCUUGGGACGUCAGAGUCAUCUGACUGUCAGUAAUGUUUCCGGUAGCUUGGAAGACUUAGAAGUUAACGUUGAAGGUCGGCCAGCUUUCAGACUACGACACUACUAGACUUAUUAUUUUCUACAAAAAAUCAUCUAUUGAGACUAACUUUAAUUUUGUGGAUACGAAAUAUAAUUGGUGGACCCAAUGGACAGGCCGUACCAGCUCAAGUCACCGACAAUAAAGACACGACCUGCAGUGUUGCGUUUACACCUCGUGUUGUUGGUGAACAUAGAAUUUCUGUCAGCCAUCGAAACGUUCCGGUG